AGAGACAGCAGUCGCCGCGGUAAUACGAAGGGGGCUAGCGUUGCUCGGAAUCACUGGGCGUAAAGGGUGCGUAGGCGGGUCUUUAAGUCAGGGGUGAAAUCCUGGAGCUCAACUCCAGAACUGCCUUUGAUACUGAAGAUCUUGAGUUCGGGAGAGGUGAGUGGAACUGCGAGUGUAGAGGUGAAAUUCGUAGAUAUUCGCAAGAACACCAGUGGCGAAGGCGGCUCACUGGCCCGAUACUGACGCUGAGGCGCGAAAGCGUGGGGAGCAAACAGGAUUAGAUACCCGAGUAGUCCCUGUCUCUUAUAC
RNAcentral lists this ribosomal RNA (309 nucleotides) under uncultured bacterium. Its description in RNAcentral is "partial 16S ribosomal RNA". It matches the Rfam family "Bacterial small subunit ribosomal RNA", at positions 504 to 807 of the family's 1533-position model. The record is from RNAcentral.